CUUCUCCAUAAUGAUUUCUGUGAGCGGAUGAAUGGCGACUCCCUUCCUCCUUGCUUCAUAAUGCCGUUGUCUUUUAGUAUUCUGAUGGUUAAUGCAUGGUGUCAUUGUUAUUUGAUUCGGUCUACUAUUUGAUGUUUGUAUGUAUUUAUUUAUUAACUAAGUUAUGGUGUUACACCAUAUCAUAUCCGGCUGAAAAAUCAAUUAUUUCCCUAAGUCCAACAGCAACCCUUUGUUUCAAUAAGUAACUCACAGUGCCACAGGCUAUAACUGUUGAAUCACGCUCCAUGCUAAAUUUCUCUGAAGUAACAACACGAGGUGUGUGCGUGUGUGUGUGUAACCAUGGGAAUCAUCAAGUAAAAACUAAAGUUUGUGAAGUUUGAGGUGUGUGACCUGUGUGUGACUUGUGUGUGCAGGCGGGGAGCGAUGGCCAGUGCAUCGGGACCUUCCCCUUCUCCCAGAGGCUCUUCAUGGUGCUGUGGCUCAAAGGAGUGACCUUCGACGUUACCACCGUGGACAUGACCAGCACACGGGCUGACGUGCGGCCGAUGUCCGAUCGCAAUCUUUGGGCAAUGUCUGUUUCCCAGGUAUGAUGUCCAGUGCAACACCUCGACCAGCAGCUGCUUCAACGAGACUAUGUUGUUCAAUGCGACUGAUUUUAUCCGACUUCAACGCCAGGGGUGUGUGCCCUCGACCGCUUGUGACCAGACAGAGGCCAGCGCCUUCCUUGGAAUCGGUUACACCUUUUCCGUCGCCUGCUGCGGGACGGACCUGUGCAAUGGAGGGACGUCACGGUCACAACCAUACAGCGGAGGGACGUCGGUGCAGCUGUCGCUCGCUGCCGCGUUCGUUGCCGUUCUGGCGUCGCUCGUGGCUCGUUAGACGACACAUGGUGCUACGACGAUACUUUCUCAGCAGACAGUUAUGAAUAAAUCCAUGAUUCAUUAAAGAGACCGUAAUAAAUAUUUCGAUUUAAAUGUGUUGAUUUAAGUGUGCGGCUUGUCAGUUGUCAGGUCAUGGGUUUCAUAAAGUUGAAUGUUGUUAACUGGUUUAAAUAGGCCUAAUAUUGAAGAAUUAAAGGAUCAAAAAGUGUUUACCUGUGUCAAAUGAAUUGAAGUCUUCCAAUAAUCUGUAAUAAUCAUGAACUACAAUAUAUUUUAAGCACUGCCAUUCUUUCAGAGCGCAUUCUGAGUUGAAAGUUACAAUCACUGUAGGGUUUGGGGCGCAGGAUGCUAAAUCCCCAAACGGGACUCUCUAAAUCGACGCCACUUCGGCCUGGGCG
Molecule: long non-coding RNA, 1279 nt
Filed under: Gadus morhua (Atlantic cod)
Lineage: Eukaryota; Metazoa; Chordata; Actinopteri; Gadiformes; Gadidae
Description: lncRNA (ENSGMOG00000036779.1)
Source: RNAcentral